UUUCAAGCAGAUUUUUCUUGAUAUUAUCCGAAAAGACUGGAUCUUAAAUCGAUAUUUGUACAAAUAGUUCUUGCUGAAUGACGCAAUUAAACCCAAAAUUUUGACAUUUAUCGUUAUCUCUUUCGAUUGAUCUUUACUUAUUAUUUUAUUGUUCAAUAUCCUUCUCGUGUUAAAUUAUAAUCAUGGAAUCUACAUUAUUAAGUCCAGCCAAUGAAGUGGUUAAAGGAGGUAGGACGAGAAGGUCAACCAUGGAAAAGGCCGCAGAGUAUCCUCUGAUCGGUGUUGGUAUCAUGGUUGGCUUAGCAGUUGUCGCCAAUGGCAUCUACAGAUGGAGGAAGACACCUGAGAUAGUGAAUAGUGCCUGGCUGCAAAGAUACAGAGUUGGGUCUUCCGCUCCUAUUGUUAUUGGGGCAUUACUUAGCGCUAUGAUGGAAACACCGGAGAAACGAAGAGCCCGGAAGGAGCGAUAUUCAUGAUAGUAAAAUUAGGCUUAUUUCAAUCAAUGACAGGGAAUUUUAUUUUGUGAUUUUCAAAUUUCUUCAAAAAUCUUGGUUGAUCACAGAUUGAGUUUAGGUUGUUUAGGUGAUUAAUUUACGAACAGAUAUCAAAUUAUGUUUUUUAAUGAUUGAUCAAAUUGAUCUAAAAUCGGAUUAGAAAUUAGAUCCCAGUUUGGGAUGUAAAAAGGACCCCAAAAGGGUUAUGUUAUAUUGAUGUAAGUCGCUGUUAACUGUAUGAAUAUUUAAUCAAUAUAUAUACACCAAUAAAUAAUUAAACUAAUUAUUUAUUCAACAUAA
Tetranychus urticae (two-spotted spider mite) is the source of this 794-nucleotide non-coding RNA. NCBI's taxonomy places the organism in Eukaryota, Metazoa, Arthropoda, Arachnida, Trombidiformes, Tetranychidae. The record is from RefSeq and is a predicted model, not a curated record.